Molecule: ribosomal RNA, 727 nt
Filed under: uncultured bacterium
Lineage: Bacteria
Description: partial 16S ribosomal RNA
Source: RNAcentral
CUAAUCCUGUUUGCUCCCCACACUUUCGCACCUCAGCGUCAGUAUCGAGCCAGUGAGCCGCCUUCGCCACUGGUGUUCCUCCAAAUAUCUACGAAUUUCACCUCUACACUUGGAAUUCCACUCACCUCUCUCGAACUCAAGACUGGGAGUUUUAAAGGCAGUUCCAGGGUUGAGCCCUGGGAUUUCACCUCUAACUUUCCAAUCCGCCUACGUGCGCUUUACGCCCAGUAAUUCCGAACAACGCUAACCCCCUCCGUAUUACCGCGGCUGCUGGCACGGAGUUAGCCGGGGUUUCUUUACCUGCUACUGUCAUUAUCAUCACAGGCGAAAGAGCUUUACGACCCUAAGGCCUUCUUCACUCACGCGGCAUGGCUAGAUCAGGCUUGCGCCCAUUGUCUAAGAUUCCCCACUGCUGCCUCCCGUAGGAGUCUGGGCCGUGUCUCAGUCCCAGUGUUGCUGAUCAUCCUCUAAAACCAGCUAUAGAUCGUAGACUUGGUAGGCCAUUACCCCACCAACUAUCUAAUCUAACGCGGGCCGAUCCUUCUCCGAUAAAUCUUUCCCCCAAAGGGCGUAUACGGUAUUACUCUUCGUUUCCAAAGGCUAUUCCGUAGAAAGGGGUAUGUUCCCACGCGUUACUAACCCGUCCGCCGCUCCACCCGAAGGUAGCGCUCGACUUGCAUGUGUUAGGCCUGCCGCCAGCGUUCGUUCUGAGCCAGGAUCAAACUCU